AUCACCUAGGAGUCUUGCUAAAAUGCAGAUUCUGAUUCAGUGGGUCUGGGCUGGGGACUAAGAUUCUGCAUUUGGGGCAAGCUCCCCACUGAGGCCAG
RNAcentral lists this microRNA precursor (98 nucleotides) under Camelus bactrianus (Bactrian camel). RNAcentral describes it as "mir-544 microRNA precursor family". It matches the Rfam family "mir-544 microRNA precursor family". RNAcentral also lists the same sequence under 1 other name. The record is from Rfam by way of RNAcentral. Lineage: Eukaryota; Metazoa; Chordata; Mammalia; Artiodactyla; Camelidae.